GUAGCCAAGGAUGUUGGCAACCUCAGGAUGAGGUCGGUAUAUCAGGAAGAUGUAUCGGACAAGGACUGUGAAGGGAACAUCGAACGGAAGCGAUAGAGUAGGUAGGACACUUACUCGUCAGGACGACAGACAUGGACCACUUCAGGAUGAAGUUAGGGACACCUCCAGGACGGAGAAGAGAGUCGAGACAAGACGUUUCGACGGGUCAAGGUGAUGACCAAAAGGACAUAUCCAGGACGGAUACUAAGGGAAGACGCUGACGGAAACAGCAUCAAUCAUGGAAUGAUGCAGGGAGCACCAUAGUAGCCGGAUUGCUGCAAGUAAGACCAAAGGGCGCGACGAAAGUCGCGCCCGCUCUUUUUUGG
Molecule: non-coding RNA, 365 nt
Filed under: Photobacterium aphoticum
Lineage: Bacteria; Pseudomonadati; Pseudomonadota; Gammaproteobacteria; Vibrionales; Vibrionaceae
Source: RNAcentral